GAGGGUAUAGCUCAGUGGUAGAGCGCAUGCUAAGCAUGCACGAGGUCCUGGGUUCAAUCCCCAGUACCUUCU
RNAcentral lists this transfer RNA (72 nucleotides) under Camelus bactrianus (Bactrian camel). It matches the Rfam family "tRNA". Rfam says of the family: Transfer RNA (tRNA) molecules are approximately 80 nucleotides in length. RNAcentral also lists the same sequence under 2 other names. Lineage: Eukaryota; Metazoa; Chordata; Mammalia; Artiodactyla; Camelidae. The record is from Rfam by way of RNAcentral.